RNAcentral lists this ribosomal RNA (335 nucleotides) under uncultured bacterium. Its description in RNAcentral is "bacterial SSU rRNA". It matches the Rfam family "Bacterial small subunit ribosomal RNA", at positions 32 to 359 of the family's 1533-position model. The record is from RNAcentral.
AAUCAACGCUGGCGGCGUGCCUCAGACAUGCAAGUCGAACGAUUAAAGCUCUCUUCGGAGAGUGUAUAGAGUGGCGCACGGGUGAGUAACACGUAAGUAAUCUACCUUCGAGUGGGGAAUAACGUCCGGAAACGGACGCUAAUACCGCAUAAUGCAGCGGCAUCGCAAGAUGACAGUUGUUAAAGAUUUAUCGCUUGAAGAGGAGCUUGCGGCAGAUUAGCUAGUUGGUAAGGUAACGGCUUACCAAGGCUACGAUCUGUAUCCGGUCUAAGAGGACGGUCGGACACACUGACACUGAAUAACGGGUCAGACUCCUACGGGAGGCAGCAGUCGGG